This 253-nucleotide ribosomal RNA is filed under the name uncultured bacterium. RNAcentral's name for it is "partial 16S ribosomal RNA". It matches the Rfam family "Bacterial small subunit ribosomal RNA", at positions 524 to 776 of the family's 1533-position model. The record is from RNAcentral.
UACGUAGGUGGCAAGCGUUGUCCGGAUUUAUUGGGCUUAAAGGGUGCGUAGGCGGUCUUUUAAGUCAGUGCUGAAAUACUCCAGCUUAACUGGAGGGGUGGCAUUGAUACUGGAAGACUUGAGUGUAGUCGAAGUAGGCGGAAUUGACGGUGUAGCGGUGAAAUGCUUAGAUAUCGUCAAGAACACCGAUAGUGAAGACAGCUUACUAGGCUACAACUGACGCUGAGGCACGAAAGUGUGGGGAGCAAACAGG